Long non-coding RNA from Peromyscus californicus insignis, 7257 nucleotides. RefSeq lists it as uncharacterized. The transcript is spliced from 5 exons. Lineage: Eukaryota; Metazoa; Chordata; Mammalia; Rodentia; Cricetidae. The record is from RefSeq and is a predicted model, not a curated record.
UGAAGGCAGCUCGGCUGCAGCGCGCCCUGCUCCUCGGGGUUACUACCGGGCAUCGCGCGGGCGGGGCGGGCGCUGGGAGGGACAGCCCGUCCUCUGCCUCAGGAACCACCAUAGCGGAAACACUCCCAGCCAUCUGGAGAGGUCUGAGGCUCUCAGUCACAUCAGCCUCGAUGAUGGUAUAAAGGAGUCUGUGGUAAUUCUUCCUCUUCAGGGACUCCCCACCUUCCUGGCAUCCCACCGGAUCUUGGGAGGAUCAAGGAACAGAUUUUCAAGAAAUACCUUUUCGUGCAGGGGUCCAAGCCCCUCUCUACCUACCUCUGAUCUCUGAAUGCGGACAAUGAUCCCCCAACGGGUGCAAAUAGGAUACCUAGGUUUGGCCAGGCUCUGUCACUGGGCACACCCAGAUCCCUCUCCCAGGUGAUUCUAGAUUCUGUCAAGUUGAAACGGCUAAUCAUCACAGGUACCAACAAACAUAGAGCUUCUUUGCAUUUCUACAUUGCAUAAUCAUGAUAAUGAUGUGAGCCGAUUGAAUGCAAAUUUCUGAUCUGUUUCAUGAUGAAGAGACUGUGGCUAAAGACAAGUGUUCCAGGUGCUGUGUUACUGUCUUUCCUGCAUUCAUUUAAUUCUAACAACCUCGCAAGACAGGGUUUUAUGUAGUCCAGGCUGGCCUAUGGAGUUGAGGAUGACCCUGAAUUUUUGAACUUCUGCCUCCACCUGCCAGGUGCUGGGUUUACAGGCAUGCAUCAGUCUCUGUGCCCAGUGUUAUGUGGUGAUGAAGAUUAACCUCAGGGAUUCGUGCAUACCAGCAUGGAUGGAGGCUGGCAGUAUUGUUCAAGCAUUAGACUGAGGCCACGAGAGGAAUCUCUUGAAACAAAAACACGGUGCAUUUCUUUGCCAGGGCUGUCGUAACAAAUGCCGUGGUGUGGAAGCUGAAACAACAGAAUCUACUUCCUCACAGUUUGGGAGGUCCCAGCUCCAAGAGCAAGGUGUCCACAGGAUGGGAGUCCUGAUCUCCUGACUUGCAAUCACCUUCUUGCUGUGUCCAUAGAAACUCUUUUUCUCCUCCUGUGUUUUUCUUCCUAGUGCCUGGAGUCAACGUCUCUUCUUCUUAUAGGGUACUAGUUAGGGACCUUAACAGACCCAUUUAUCUUCACUUUUACUUUCUUGAAUGGCUAAGGUUCAAAGGGCCUUGAGUAUGCUGAGUGCUCUACCCCUAAGCUACAUACUGAUAUAUAGCAUCUCACUUCAUCUAUUCCUGUUUACCUCUUUUGAGUCUUGUAUGGAGUGGAGUUCCCACUUCCCUUAAAACAAACUAUUCAACUGAACUGGUCUAUCUAUAGUUGAUAGUAGCUGCAUAAUUUGGGCUAAUUAAAAUAUGAUCUUAAAAAGCAAGUUCUGGCCAGGCGGUGGUGGCGCACGCCUUUAAUCCCAGCACUCGGGAGGCAGAGGCAGGAGUAUUUCUGUGAGUUCAAGGCCAGCCUGGUCUCCAAAGCAAGUUCCAGGAAAGGUACAAAGCUACACAGAGAAACCCUGUCUCGAAAAACCAAAAAAAAGAGCAAGUUCUGGCUGGGCAUAUGGGUGCAUGCCUUUAAUCCCAGCACUUGGGAGGCAGAUGCAGGUGGAUCUGUGCAUUCAAGGCCAGCCUGGUCUAUAGAGUGAGUUCCAGGACAGCCAGAGCUAUAUAGUGAUGCUCUGUCUCAAAGAAACCAAAACAACAACAAAAAUAAACAAAUAAAGGCAAGUUCAGGACAAUUUGAGGCCAUCCCAAAACCAUUUACUUGAGUGAUUCCUUGCCAUAAGGGGACACAAGUGGAAGAGUAUAUUUAAGAUGCUGAGUUUUAAAUAUUGCCUUCCUAAACUUAAACAUCUGAAUAUGCAGUUUUCAAAUAGUAGCAUAAACCCUAACAUUGUAAGUAAGAACUCAUAAAAUAAUUAUUUUCUGAGAUUGGGGAUUCAAAUCAGAUGGAAGAGGGUUUUGACAGUUCUGCUGCUAUGCAUCUGGGGAAGCUAGCAUUUUGAAUGGUGUGCAUUAUCGCUCAUUGGCAUUUCAUUUGGAUCCUCUCAGCAUCUUCCUGGUAAGUGCAUACUUAUUUUUAUGCUUGGCUUCAAUACUGCUGAACCACCUCAUAGGAGGGCUUUGCAGAAAUACUAAUGAGUGUGAUUGCCAUGCAUUUUGCAAAUCUGAAGUACGACCAAAAUGUCCAGUGCAAUAGUAAUAUGGUACCAUGGAGGCUAAAAUAAUGGCCAUUCUAUCCAAUUUUAGAAGAGGAGCUGAGGGGUUAGGAAAAAAAAAUUGGCUAACUACAUAGGCAGCCAGAGCUAGGACUCUGAUUCUCUGUAUCAGUGACAGCAGCAUGACAUGAUAAAUAAUUUUAACUUUUCAUUUUUAAUGUUACUUUUUCACUGUGGUUUGGUUUAAUGUUAUUUAUAUUGAAGCAAAACUUCACUUGAGAGUGUCAUGUACAGUUAGUGUGAUAGUUUGAAUGUAACUGGCUCCCAUAAUCUCAUAAGGAGCGGCAUGAUUAGGAAGUAUGGCUUUGUUGGAGUGGGUAUAGCCUUGUUGGAGGAAGUAAGUCAGGAUGGAGGUGGGCUUUGAGAUUUCCUAUGCUCAGGAAACCACCCAGUACAUCAGUCAACUUUCUGUUUCCUGCAACAUUAGGACUCUUAGCUACAAUUCCAGCACCAUGUCUGCCUGCAUGCCACCAUGCUCUCUGCCAUGAUGAUAAUGGACUGAACCUCUGAAACUGUAAGAGAGCCACUCCAAUUAAAUGUUUUACUUUAUAAGAGUUGCUGUGGUCAUGAUGUCUCUUCACAGCAAUAGAGACCCAAACUAAGAGAGACGCCACAGAGAACCAGAUAUACUGUUAUAGUGAACAGCCUAUCUCCAAACUAUUAAUAGCAAUUUUAUUCAUAAAACUUAAAGAUUAUAAAUUUAUCUUGCUAGAAUAAAAAUUAGAACUUUAUCUCUCAUAAAACAAGGUAUCUUUUGCUAUCCUUCGCUUUCCUGCUCAUUCAUGAACUCAACUGAUAUUUUGAUGGCUACGUAUGAAAGGCUAGGGAAAGGCAAGAGAAAGUAAGUAUGGAUAGAAUUGGCAUCAUACAUGGAAACAACAGUUCCCUGUUGGUUUCAAUUGAAGAUAACCAAUGAUGGAGAGACCUCAGAGAAAUAAAUAGAAGAGGCAGCCUAGGAUGAGGAGCAGAUGGAAGUAAUGCCACAGUCUGUCUUGGUACAGGCCUUGAAAUGGGGCAUGGGAACUUGGAGACUGAUCCCUAUAAAUUACUGCAGCCCCUUAGGAAAGUGAGUGAAGCCAGAGAGGAAUGCAAGUACCACAUUCAAUGACACGCAGGAUUUGGGAUAAUGGAUCAGAAGGGUGAACUCCUACCGUCAACUACGAGAGAACACAUUUGUCCAGUGACAUACUGGACUUUAAGUUCCCAGAGGAGGAGGAGGGGAAGCUGCCUGGAGAAACCUGCUAAACCUGCUAUUAUGGAGUAGGUAGAGAACAGAAAGAAGAAACUUGCUGUAGGAAUUGCAGUGAGUCAUUAAAAAAUAGUAAGUGGGAGAAGAGGUAGAAACAAGACUAAGAGUUCUGGGUGACCAUAUGCCACAGCACUGUGCCUCGAUAAGAAUGUGGACACUUCAAAUCCUAUUAGAGGACAGAAAGGGCAAUCCUUCCUUUGGGAUUUCUCCAGUGCUGGCAGUAGAACCUUAAGCUUCAUGCAUGCUGGGGGACCAUUCUGCCAUGGUCCCAUAUCCCUAGCAGAAAGUGCAGUCUUUUGAAGUUCACUGAAUUUGGUUGGGUGGGGUGAACCUGCUGCCAAUUAUAUAGAAUGGUACCUAACUCACAGUUAUUACCUGAAAUGGAAAAACUAGCUCUUAAGGUCUUGCAAAUUCCUUAUAUGUCACCAGCCCUCCUCUUAGCUCAACAAAUGGGCUAUACUCCAUUCAGUCUUGCAGCUCAGUGCUCUCUUCUGUUUAUGAGGCCAAUAUUCACAUUCUGUUAUCCUGUCUCAUAAGUACUGAUGGGACCUACUCAUUUUUCUCCUUCUCUAAAUACCACCACUUUACCACACUAUUAUCAUUUCCAGGUUUAGCCCAAUAUAUUCCUACCCAGUCUCCCUAAUUCCAACCUCCAUAAAGUUGCCACCAGGCAGUCAUGCCCAUCCUUUUAAAGCCAAAUUUAUUUAUGUCACUUCCUAUGUGACACAUCACUCUAGGUCAAUACAAAAGGAACUCUUGAACACAGCCUAUAACAUACACAGGUUCUAUCUCUACCUGAUGCUUGAGUUUCAUCCUCCAGUUGCUGAGCUCCUAAAAUAUUCCAGGCUCCUUCUCAUCCUGAGUCUGGGCACUUGCCAUUUGUCUAACACUCUCCUGACAUCUUUACUUUGCUAAUUCCUACUUACCAUUCAAAUCUGUUUACCUGUUGGUUUUCUCUGGGAAACCUUUCUUGACCACCCAUACAAUAGGACUGUAUUGAGUACCCUACUGAGUACCCCUUUUACAUUCUAUCAUCACAAUUCAUAGCAAAGGCAGGAUAGAUUGUGAAAUACUAUAUAUUUAUUAAACAGACAAAACACGUAUAUCCUACAUUUAAAGCCUAGUUCAAAAAAGAAACCUAUCAUGGUGUUGGAUGUUGAUAGUUUGGGAUGGUGGGUUUGAGUGUGUGGGGGUAGAGGCAUGGGGCGGGGGGAGGGUAAGGCUACUUACAAAAGCCUUCUAUACUUUCUGUUCAAUUUUGUUGGGAACCUAAAGCUACUUGGAACAUACAAUCUGUUACUAAUUAAAAAUAAAUGAGUAUGGAAAAUGCAUAACUUAAUCACAUUUAAGGGAAAUAGUGUAAUAGAUCCCUGUGGACCCACCACCUUAGUCAUAAUACAAUUGGGGGAUUUGGAACAGCUCAUGAAAUCAUGUUUUUAAAUUGACUUCAGAUUUUGUGACUGGUAUCAUAAUAAAAUUAUUUACAUUUGGUGGAUAUGGUGGAAGUGACCAACGACAAUGCCCCUUUUCAACACAAGCCUCCCAUGAGACAGCAUGAUUAGGAUUGUUGGGUCCUUGAAGCAUCUGAGUGUACUUGCGCAGCUCUUGGGUUCAGUGGAGUAGCAGGCAUGCAGUGCUGGCCACUUCACUGUGGUAUUUGGCUGUCAAGAUGCACCGCUUCUCUCAAACUAACAUGAAAAUGCGAAUUCCCUUCAACAACAUUUGCCUUUGUACUUUAGUACUUUUGGACAAAAGCAAAGGCAAUUGCUUCAUGUGAGCUGGAAACAUGAAUAAAUGAAUACUUCAAAAAUAGAAUGUUACAGCUAGAUCUUAAAUGUUCCUCAUAGGCCCUUGGUGUUCCUGGGAUGUGAAGGAAGCUUUAGGAGGUAGGGCCAAGUAGGAGUUAAGUCCUUGUUGGUGUGCUCCUGAAGGGGACAUGAACUCAGGUCCUUUCUCUUCCCAUCUUCUGCUCUGGGCCUCUCCACUUUCUGUACUUCUGUCUAGAUCAGACUUUUGUCCUGAUCCAGCAAACUCCCAUCUGUCCUUCAGAUCUUAACUCCAGUGACUCUUGACCUCUCAAGGAGCUAUGGCUGAUCCUCAGACCCUCUGUGACAUAGAGGACCUUGUCUGUGUCAGUAUUCAUUUUCAGGGACCCUGCAGCUCACGUUGUCAUUCUGUUUAUAGACUGUCACAGAAAAACCAUUGAUCUUUAUGGUGAGACACUAUAGUGAUGAAGUUAAACAGUGACAAAUAAGUUUGUCAUUUGUGAGACCUAGGUCCAAAUGCGUCCCCCAGUUAUUGGUUCUGUGCCUUGGGCAAUUUCUGAAAUCUAUGGUUUGUUACUUUUUCCCUCUUCUAGGUUUUGCUUGUUUGAUAUGAGCUCUCACUCUAUAGCCUAGGUUAGCUUUGAGCUCAUGUUCCUCUUGCCUCAGUCUCCCAAAUACGGGGUUGCAUCAUAUUUUAAGUGAAAAUAUGACAUCCCCAUCUCAGAAUUGUCACAAGGGUUAUGAGAACUGAUGAAUCACUUAGAAGAAUGCACUGAGCGUGUAGUCGACGCUCAAUAAAGAUGUGCAGAAUGGAAGGCAGGAAGGGGAAAAAAGAGAAAAGGAACGAGAGAAAGGAGGAGUGAAUGAUUCCCCACGGGAAAAAGCAAACAGAACAUCUCCACAACUGUUAAGGGAUUCUGAUCUAAAGACUGCUCUUUUCUAUGUGGCUGUGAGUGAACCAGAAGGAUCUUGAUGUUCUGCAGUUGAAAGGCAUAUGUUUAGACUCGAUGUCUCCUGGUGCCUGGAGAAGACCCUGAGCUGACUCCCCACUCUCCUCCUGGGCUGAUGCAGUUUUCAUCUCCCUGCUGCUCUGUACUGGCUUUGGGCUUAUUACCCUUGGUGGGUUUCAUCAACUUUAUUAAUUUGAAAAUACGUACUGCAUAUCUACUGGCGCAGAACACGAUAGCCAACAUAAACAUGAAAUAAUAGGAUGUUUUCAAGUCUGUCUUCCUGUCAUUUGGAAGUGAGUACCAUUAAGCAUGCAAGAAGCAAUUCUAGGUAUGAUGAGAUGCUGGAUGUGGAGGUCAUGUGAGUGGACAUCUCAUCACUGGAGUGAGGGAUCUGGAUGAUGUAUAGUUUUAGCUAAGAAAAGUUUAACUUCUAGUACUCCCAGAAAGUUGAACACUGUAGCUGACCCUUGGGGGGAUAAAAGGGACAUGAAGCCCUGCUCCUGCCCUCAGGGAGCUGACUGCCAAAUCUGGAAGACUGGACAAUGAGAUACGUACAACCUAGAGAUAAGGACAGAGAAGACAAUAAGGAAGUGCCUGAGGUUUCAAAGCUGUAAAUGAUAGAGCAGAUUGGAAACAUGGCGGAGUGCAUUGGUGCCAUUAUCAGGUACUAUACCAGCAAUUAGGAAUAAGAUACAAUAAGCCAGUUUCCUAACCUCAAAGACUUAAUAAAAAAAAAAAGGCAGAAGGGACAUAAGCGUAAAGAAACAAUAUAAUCCAUCCAUUCAACGCUUUUUGGGUAUCUAUUAGGUUCCAAGUUAAAGGGUAAAAUGAAAGGAAGGAAGGAAGGAAAGAAAGACUGUGGUAGAAGAAUCUCAAGUUCAAGGAAUCAAUGAAUAAACAAACCUUUCAAUAGAAGGUAUUAAAUGUCAAAGUAGGUAAAGUUUACAUUUCCAGAGUCUAAAGAUGGAGGGUAAAGGGGCAAUAAAUUCUUUCUGAGGUCAAGGAGGUUUCUGAAGGGGACACACACACACAUACACACACACACACACACACACACACA